This 397-nucleotide ribosomal RNA is filed under the name uncultured Glomeromycotina. Its description in RNAcentral is "SSU rRNA". It matches the Rfam family "Eukaryotic small subunit ribosomal RNA", at positions 569 to 970 of the family's 1831-position model. The record is from RNAcentral. Lineage: Eukaryota; Fungi; Glomeromycota.
AGCAGCCGCGGUAAUUCCAGCUCCAAUAGCGUAUAUUAAAGUUGUUGCAGUUAAAAAGCUCGUAGUUGAAUUUUAGGCCUGGCCGGGCGGUCCGUCUUUGGCGAGUACUGUCUGUUGUUAGGUCUUCCUUCUGGUGAACCAGUAUGUCCUUUAUUGGGUGUGUUGGGGAGCCAGGACCAUUACCUUGAAAAAAUUAGAGUGUUUAAAGCGGGCUAUUGCUUGAAUAGAUUAGCAUGGAAUAAUAGAAUAGGACGUUGUGGUUCUAUUUUGUUGGUUUCUAGGACCACCGUAAUGAUUAAUAGGGAUAGUUGGGGGCAUUAGUAUUCAAUUGUCAGAGGUGAAAUUCUUGGAUUUAUUGAAGACUAACUAUUGCGAAAGCAUUUGCCAAGGAUGUUUU